ACCCUGCCUAGUGAGAGACAGGGAGAGGGAAGGCCCCGGAGCUCUAGAAAUUUAGAUCAUUGAAACGUAGAAAUUCCCAGGCCACCUCCCGGAAAGGCCGCCGCAUUCCCCGGUCUUCCAAGCAACUCUUAUUUCACCAGGGGCCUUUAGGGUCAGCCAUUUGUCCUCUGGGGACUAGUUUUCUGGCCGUUGCUGCUGCUGUUACCAUUAAUCUAAACAGCCUCCUGUCACUGUGUGCAUGGGGUGCCGUCAGAAGCAGCACAAAGUCCUCUGCCCUUUCUUAGCCCUUCCCGCUGGAGUCUGUGCCACGAGGAGGAGGAGGACUCUCGGUUCCGGCUCUCCGUGGGGAGUGGGAAGAGAUCCUCUUUUCCGGAAAGAACGGCGAGACACGGAGCUGCAGUAAAGAAUGUAAAGAUGAUCCAAGAGAAAUGCUGACCUCAGUUGGAAAUCUGUAAAGUGCUCCAAGGAGAAACUAAGAAUUUUGGGAAGAUACCUGACUCUAUCUGAGCUAUGCGCCUAGCAACUCUUUCUGCCAGAGCCAAAUUCUUACAAAGGCAACAGAGCCCACAGACCAGGAGCUGGGAAGCAGUGGAGAUGCCUAGAAGAAAUAUAAGUGUCUUAAAAAUACUUUUUUCAUUCAGUUGUAUUAAUGUUUCAAUGUGCUAUAAGUUCUCAUGGGUCCUAAAAACAGCAACCCACCA
Molecule: long non-coding RNA, 701 nt
Organism: Ornithorhynchus anatinus (platypus)
Lineage: Eukaryota; Metazoa; Chordata; Mammalia; Monotremata; Ornithorhynchidae
Exons: 2
Source: RefSeq, a predicted model, not a curated record